AUUGAACGCUGGCGGAAUGCUUUACACAUGCAAGUCGAACGGCAGCACGGGGGCAGCCCUGGUGGCGCGUUGCGAACGGGUGAGUAAUACAUCCGAACGUGCCCUGUCGUUGGGGAUAACGUAGCUAAAGGUACGCUAAUAUCGCAUACGAUCUUAGGUUGAAAGCGGUGGACCUAUGGUCCUCGCGCGAUCUGCUCUGCCUUUGUCAUAUUAGGUAGUUGGUGGGGUAAAGGCCUACCAAGCCGACGAUCUGUAGCUGGUCUGAGAGGACGACCAGCCACACUGGGACUGAGACACGGCCCAGACUCCUACGGGAGGCAGCAGUGGGGAAUUUUGGACAAUGGGCGAAAGCCUGAUCCAGCAAUUCCGCGUGAAGGAUGAAGGCCUUCGGGUUGUAAACUGCUUUUGUACGGGACGAAAAGGCGCUGGAUAAUCUCUGGGGGUCAUGACGGUACCGUAAGAAUAAGCACCGGCUAACUACGUG
This 484-nucleotide ribosomal RNA is filed under the name uncultured bacterium. Its description in RNAcentral is "partial 16S ribosomal RNA". It matches the Rfam family "Bacterial small subunit ribosomal RNA", at positions 30 to 507 of the family's 1533-position model. The record is from RNAcentral.